CCUGGAAGGAGGCGUCAGCUCGUUGUCUCAGCCAGCGUGGUAAACUGACCAUGAUCUGCAGCUCUGCAGUCCUCCUGAAGCUUUUCUGAUCUCCUUGUUUUUCCUUGCCUUGCAGAAUCAGUUCUGCAAGGCAGGGAAAGCCAUGUCGAUCCAGGCAUGAGUCUCCAUUCCACUCCAACCUCCAGCCCAGCUGCUCAAGAGCCUCCUCAUGGGAACACCUGACUCUCACUCACCUGCCUGUCCACCCUCCAACACCGCCGAGCCGAACACAGCAGAGCUACCCAAGAAACACAGAGUGUAAACUAAAGAAUCUCACCACUCCGUUCCUCACCAACCUCAGCCACCGUGGAAAAGAUGUAUUCUUCCCCAGAAAAUCUCCAGCCUCUUCAUCCGAAGAGCAAUGUGGCUGUUAUGCUGGCUGUGGAACAAUAGACUACGGCCUAUCAUCACAAAAAAUCCUAAGACUAAAAGAAACCCUUAGUAACGUCAUUCUGAGAAAAACCACUCCAGGCCAAGCACAGUCCUAGUAAAAGGCUGUGAUUGGCAGUUGAAGGGACGCAGCUGCAGCUCCAUAGGACUAAUCAGCUGGGGUAUAAAGAGGACCUGGAAACCAGAGAGAGAUACCAGAUCAACUGCUAAUUAGAACCUUUCUGGGAGGGCUUCCAGGAUCUCAGACCAGUUCCCUAAUCUCUGAAUUUUACUGCAGCCUUCUGGGUCCAUCAGUUAGUCUCCUCUGUGCUACUAUGAUCCUCCAAAAGGCAUGCUCAUCAGUCCACAACUCUGCUGCCACUGCUCACUCACCUGCCUGUCCACCCUCAUACACUGAUGGCCAUCUCCAUCUGGGGAAAGAUACAAAUGACUCAGCAUCACCCCCGCCACCGAGCAUAGCCACCUGUCAACCUCAGUUCCUGUGAGUUUGCUCACCUUUCCCCGACCUCCCACCAUACUUCUCACAAUGCCCGAUCAGAACUCAAAAACCCGAACCAGACAAUUCCUCCUGUUCCCAAGAAUAAAACAUUUAAAAACGC
Long non-coding RNA from Girardinichthys multiradiatus, 1028 nucleotides. RefSeq lists it as uncharacterized. The record is from RefSeq and is a predicted model, not a curated record. The transcript is spliced from 5 exons. NCBI's taxonomy places the organism in Eukaryota, Metazoa, Chordata, Actinopteri, Cyprinodontiformes, Goodeidae.